GAUGAAGAACGUAGCGAAAUGCGAUAAGUAAUGUGAAUUGCAGAAUUCAGUGAAUCAUCGAAUCUUUGAACGCACAUUGCGCCCGCCAGUAUUCUGGCGGGCAUGCCUGUUCGAGCGUCAUUACAACCCUCAGGCCCCCGGGCCUGGCGUUGGGGAUCGGCAGAAGCCCCCUGUGGGCACACGCCGUCCCUCAAAUACAGUGGCGGUCCCGCCGCAGCUUCCAUUGCGUAGUAGCUAACACCUCGCAACUGGAGAGCGGCGCGGCCAUGCCGUAAAACACCCAACUUCUGAAUGUUGACCUCGAAUCAGGUAGGAAUACCCGCUGAACUUAAGCAUAUCAAGCGGAGGA
Molecule: unclassified non-coding RNA, 349 nt
Filed under: soil metagenome
Description: partial contains 5.8S ribosomal RNA, internal transcribed spacer 2, and large subunit ribosomal RNA
Rfam family: 5.8S ribosomal RNA (bases 1-120)
Source: RNAcentral